This 407-nucleotide ribosomal RNA is filed under the name uncultured bacterium. Its description in RNAcentral is "bacterial SSU rRNA". It matches the Rfam family "Bacterial small subunit ribosomal RNA", at positions 475 to 879 of the family's 1533-position model. The record is from RNAcentral.
GUACCUGACUAAGAAGCCCCGGCUAACUACGUGCCAGCAGCCGCGGUAAUACGUAGGGGGCAAGCGUUAUCCGGAUUUACUGGGUGUAAAGGGAGCGUAGACGGCACAGCAAGUCUGAUGUGAAAGCCCGGGGCCCAACCCCGGAACUGCAUUGGAAACUGCUGGGCUUGAGUGCAGGAGAGGUAAGCGGAAUUCCUAGUGUAGCGGUGAAAUGCGUAGAUAUUAGGAGGAACACCAGUGGCGAAGGCGGCUUACUGGACUGUAACUGACGUUGAGGCUCGAAAGCGUGGGGAGCAAACAGGAUUAGAUACCCUGGUAGUCCACGCCGUAAACGAUGAUUACUAGGUGUCGGGGGCACCAAGGUCCUUCGGUGCCGCCGCACACGCAAUAAGUCAUCCACCUGGGGA